Molecule: small nuclear RNA, 133 nt
Organism: Cynocephalus volans (Philippine flying lemur)
Lineage: Eukaryota; Metazoa; Chordata; Mammalia; Dermoptera; Cynocephalidae
Product: U11 spliceosomal RNA
Exons: 1
Source: RefSeq, a predicted model, not a curated record
AAAAAGGGCUUAUGCUGGGAGUGGCACAUGUAGGCAACCCGAAUGCUCUUCACACAAAAUCUAUGUCAAGAGAUUUUGGAUGAAUAAUUUUUUGGCAGUUGGGCAGGUGGUGAUCAUUGGUCCCAGCACCCUA